UCAAUAAAUUAUGACAUUUGGGAAAGCAAUAAAAUGCUCAUAUUAAAACUUUAUAGAGCGUGAAGUAUUUUCAAUUUUCAGCAUGGCAUGACUAAAACUUAGUUUCAUUUUCAGCAUUCUUCUCAUGGCAAUCACAAGUUAGUAUACCUAUUUCUUUUAUCUAGAUUCUAAUUUUACAUUUUUAUUUGUCGAUAUAUAUAUAUAUAUAUAUUGCUAUAUCUGAGAAAAUAUUUUUAUCAAUUUGUUGAUAUGUUUUUCUAUGCAUGGUCUUUGAAUGUUCUAAUUUUCACCUUGUACCAGUCAAAAUUUUAGUUUUGGUAAUGUGGGAAUAUUUCAGUCAAUGUGUCGCAGUUUUUCAUGAGGCAAGCAUUGGCGGUAGAAGUUGAUCUUGAGCUCUCCGAACUCAAGCGGUGACUACUCCCACAACUUACGGAUUGGCUUACUUGUGAUAGACCUUGUGGAUCCGAUAGUGAAUGCAGUGAUUGUUGGUUUUGCUGCUGCUGUAUCCAUGCUGAAUCAUUUUUCACUACAGUUUGUAGAGGACCAUCUGGGUAGAAGAUCAAGACUAAUUCUAUUAUAAAUCUUUGAAAGGAUUUGGGUAAUUUCUAUGUGAUUUCAGUAUUUUGUUUUGUUGGUCUUUUGUUCUACUAUGUCUUUCACUUUGUACGAAUAAUGAGAAAAUCAAUGAGAAUGUUGUUUGUCUACUCCAAAGGCUGGCUUGACCAACUUUUCAAAUGUAAUCGUUGUUAGAUUCAUUUCCCUUGUGCUUUAUUUAUAACCUUUUGCCCUUGUCCAUUCUCUAAUUAUAAUCUAAUUUAAU
RNAcentral lists this long non-coding RNA (820 nucleotides) under Nicotiana tabacum (common tobacco). RNAcentral's name for it is "long non-coding RNA (NTAB_LNC002735)". The record is from RNAcentral. Lineage: Eukaryota; Viridiplantae; Streptophyta; Magnoliopsida; Solanales; Solanaceae.